CUACGCACGUGACGCAUCGGGAGGGAUGUGGCGGCGAUGUGGCUGCUGCGGGCUGCCCGGCAUACGCCUGCCGAAAUUGCCUGUAUCUGAUGGGACAGAAAGCUGUCUUUUCUCCGCGAUAUUUCUUGCCGUUUGGGGGGAAAAAGAAGUAGGAAUCAUCUAAUGCAGAGUAUGAAAUAUUUUUUCUUCUUCGUUGUCUUCCAAUUUUGCAGAAAAUUUGAUGAAUGUAAUCCUUGUGUGCCCUAGGAAAUUUGCCAGACAUUAAGGAGAUUCUCGUAUACGUUUCACAGAUUGCUUCACAUGUAAGAAGCACCUGGCUAGACAUAUCCUUAAACAGUGACCUUUUCCUCACCUCUCUACAGUAGGUGCUUGGGGGCAGAAAUGCAUGACGAAAGCAGGCGGGGAAGGUGAAGCAACAUCAGUCUUUGUACCAGCACGUAAAUACCAAGAAAAUGUUACAAAGCUAACAUAGCUAGCUAUUGUGACUAUAAUGAGAAGCAGUAUUGUGUAUAAAUUUAAGCACCAAGAAACAAAUAAAGAAUAAAAUUACACUCUUCCCUGCCUUCUGCCCUUUGUUUGCUAGAAGAGGCUACAGGGACCUGUACCACAUAAGAAGCAUUGAAGAUGGGUGGAUAGUUAGCAAUUUGAUUUCCAACCCAUGACCAUCUUGC
This is a long non-coding RNA of Paramormyrops kingsleyae, 671 nucleotides long. RefSeq lists it as uncharacterized. The record is from RefSeq and is a predicted model, not a curated record. NCBI's taxonomy places the organism in Eukaryota, Metazoa, Chordata, Actinopteri, Osteoglossiformes, Mormyridae.